This is a long non-coding RNA of Betta splendens (Siamese fighting fish), 1236 nucleotides long. RefSeq lists it as uncharacterized. Lineage: Eukaryota; Metazoa; Chordata; Actinopteri; Anabantiformes; Osphronemidae. The record is from RefSeq and is a predicted model, not a curated record. The transcript has 3 exons.
UUCACUGGCAUAAAACACAUUUAUAACACAGAAAUAAUGAUAAUAGUAGUACUGUAGUGUUUACAAUUUAGAUCAGUAGACGCAAGUAUGAAAAGCGAUAUCAAUUAUUGAUUACUUAUUUAGUAUAAAGCCAAGGUAAUACUUCACAUGUAUCGUCAGUAGAACAGACUGAACACAGUAAUGUGUUUAUUUAAACAUUAAACUACGACGAAUGGAACCUAAUAAAACCAGUUACACAAACUUGUGUGCCUCACGGAACUUAGUCGUGCUCUCAGAUUUCACCCGUGCAUGUUUUCGGCAGUUUAAACAACGCCCAGAGAGCUAAUGAUGGGAAGAGUGAAUCCUCCCAUGCAGGAACGCACACGGCUCAUCGGGACACGUUCUCGUGUGGAAAUGCGUCUUAAAACCGCAGCUGAACAAACUGUACGGACCAACAUGUUCACUUUGAAACUAGCUCUAACGAAGCGAUCAACAGUUGCACGGAAACACACCCUGGGAACUACAGCCGCACUGGACGGAACUCAUUAUAACCGGCGCACCGUCGGAGAUUAAACUAUUACCUAAGCAGGAAAAGGCGAUUGUUAGUACGAGGACAAGCCACCACCUCGUUCCCUCAGCAACAGGAAUCGCCCCACGCAGCACUUUCUGGCCAGGAGCGUGAAUGGAGCGGCGCUGCAGGUGUAUUAGAGGAUGAAAGCACCUGCAUUGAGAGCGAGGACGCGGGUGAUGAAUCGACCGCGCUGCCGUCCUCACACGCAGCCUCUCUGUGGGUGUGAGGAGGAGGAACGUCCUGCUGGACACACUCCCUGCUGGUUUCUGAGGGAGUAGGUGCAGUUGGAAACUCCAUUAGAACGGACCCCUGAUGAAAACCCAUUAAUGGCUCCGCAAUCAGGAUUGAGGUCGGGGGGAUGGACCCGGCAGCGGAACCGCACACGGAGCCAUAAAGCCUGAUGUAGCUGCCUCUCGUGGAGCAUCUGCAGCAGAGGAAGAAUAACUAUCUCAGUGUCUGCAGACCUGUUGAAUUAAAGUGGGCAUUAAGUGCGGCUUCCUCUGCAUUAUUGAUGGCCGGCUCCGUUCCCGAGGCCAUUACGCCUCCUAUUUUUCCUCUCGCAAUUUUCUCGCGGACAUCCCACUGUCUUCAAACACACUUACAGUAUGCGGUGAGGGCGAGUGGUCAGGCUCGGGGCUCGCGCCGCUCCCAGCAGGGUGCCGUUAUUUUAAACCGAGCCGCAACAA